GUUUUAGAAAUGAUUCCAAAAACAGACAGAAACAGCAAAGUAAUUGCAGCAACAAAUAUGAUUUUGAAAAAAAAAUGUGAUUGUGCUUAUAUAACAACUGUUCUAUUAAGAACAGUGUUAAUAGGUUGUAAACUGCAGUUCAAUAAUUUACAAUUAUUAUCAAAAUGGUGCAUCUAUUAACUGUUUCUCUCUUUGCAAUCUUAUGCAUUAAUAUUGUUCUUGGAUAUACAUACAAUGGAGUAGAAUAUACAGUUGAUAGAGAAUUAGCAACUGAAAGUUACCAGCAACGUCAGGCCAGACCCUUCGGGCAAAGAGAUUGCAACAUGCCAGCAGAAGAACAAAACAGUAUCCUAGUUUGUCUCCCUCGGAGAAGAGUUUGGACAUGGAGUAUAGUCAACAAUGAAUGUGUUACCGAAAGAACUAUCGGAUGUUCCAGUACUAAGACUAAGAACAACUUCGCAACGGAGGCACAAUGCCUACAAGUUGCCAAACCAAUAUGUGGUCACUAAGGCGCCAAAUAGAGGUCACCGUGUCCUUUUCAAUUCUGAUAGACAAACUCAACGGUUUCUUAUGGAUUUUUGGCUGCUGAUUACGAAUUUCGAUCAGUGGUCAAAAAAUUGUUAUAAACAAUUUAAUUGUUUAUAAAUUAUUUAUAAGGCUCUGGCUCAUAAACUAAAAGAGAUAAAAAAGAUUGUUUAAAAUUGGUUCGUUAAUAAAAAAAACGAAGAAAAAAACGUUUACUAAACUUAAAUCCAACAAUUAGAACUCAAGAUAUUGUAAAAUUAGUGCACAAUGCGAAAUAAGUAUUUUUCGAAGCUUUAUCGAUCGUAACUCGGCUUUUAAGCAUGCAAAUGAGCCUUAAAAGGUCUCAUUUUAAAGCUUCAUUAAUAGGCUUCCAAACAGACUUUGUUAAAUUACUUGAUCUUCAUUUGUUGUAAAGUUAUACAUAUCCAUUUGAAGUAAUAAUUUUCUUAAAAAAUUGUACAUUAAUUUGUUUAUAAGGGUCUGAAGCAAAUUUAAGCUAUAAACAUUUAUAAUUUAAUUAACAAUAAUGAUAGAAGAACUCAAAAGGAACAUUUUGAGCUUACGAAAAUGUUUGUAAGUUUAUUUUUGGCCAAGAUAUCGAUAUUUUAAUAGUGCGCUCUGAGGCACAAGAUCGGCUCACCGCGUAAAGGUUCACGCGCUAACUACUCGAUGCAAAUUAUAAUUUCUAUGUAUACAGGGUGAUUGAUUAGUAGGGUAAAGCUCAAUAGCUCCGCUAUAGAUAGCAAUAAAAGUUAAUAACAAAAAUUUUAGCCACCUUUGAGCUUCACAUUACAAAAUUAGUUAGAAUGUUACAGGGUGUUCGAUAACACAGUGGCAGACCUAACUUAUGUUUUUUUUAAAUAGAACACCCUAUAUUUUAUUUUAUAUUCGAAAUCCUGUUAACUUCUCCAUCACAAAAAUAUAAGGUUUGUAAUGUUAUACAGGGUAUUUACAAAGUUAUAACCAAUUUUGUAUGAAAAUCGUAACAAGUUCGACUCCCUGUAUAAAUAAAAAUAAGCACAACAGCAAUGGUUUAUUAAUGCCAUAUUUUUUUAUUUAUUGUCGAAAUUUUUAAGAAUUAUUGAUAUUGCUAAUUUUCUUUAUAUCAAAUACAGGGUGAGUCAAAACGCAACGUACUUUAAUGUUUUUAUAACAUUCCCUAUGCCCAAAUUUAUUAGUUUUCGAGAUAUUUUUAUUUUUCACAGCAGAUUAUUUUAGGUGUUUAAAUUGAUCUAAAUUUUAAGUAAGACAUGACUGAAUAGACAAUUGAAGAUUAUCGUAUUUUUUUAUGUAAAUGCAACAAAUAAACAAAGAAAAUUAGUAAAAAAUUUUACAAGAAAAAUACACAAACACAAAAUACAACAUUUUGUGAAGACAAUUAAACAUUACUUUUGUAUGUAAAUCUAACAAUGUAACAAAUAAAGAACGAAAAAUAAUUUAUCAGUAAUACAUUUUGCAAAAAAAAACAUGUUUGAAAAAAUUAGAAGCUACUUUUAAUAAAAUAUUUUUAAUAUUUAAUUACAUAAGGAGUUCAAAAUUACCUCCUAACACAUUUAUGCACCCCUAAAAACGAUCGUUGACUGAGCUACGUACUCUACAAGGCAUUUGUAAAUUAACACAUCGAAAUACACUUUGUAUUCUAUUUUUCAUUAAUCCCUUGUUAUUGGAGGUAUUUUAUAAACUUCAUUAUUAACGUAACCCCAAAAAAAUCAGUUCAGUUUAUUAAAUUCUGGUGAUUUGGGUAGCCACGCUACUGGUCCAUUCAAAAAUGAAAAUAUCUCGAAAACUAAUAAAUUUAGACAUAGGGAAUGUUUCUAAAAAUUAAAGUACGGUAACGGUACUUUUCAAUAGUGAUAUAAAAUACAGGGUGUUCCAUUUAAAAUUACUGAGAAAAUAAUGUACAUACUUGCGUUUUGACUCAACCUGUAUUUGAUAUAAAGAAAAUUAGCAAUAUCGACCAUUCUUGAAAAUUUUGACAAUGCGUUAAAAAAUAUGGCAUUAAUAAACCAUUGUUGUUUUGCUUAUUUUUAUUUAUACAGGGAGUUGAACUUGUUACGAUUUUCAUUAAAAUUGGUUAUAACUUUGUAAAUACCCUGUAUAACAUAACAAACCUUUAUAUUUUUGUGAUGGAGAAGUUAACAGGAUUUCGAAUUUAAAAUUAAAUAUAGGGUGUUCCAUUUAAAAAAAAACAUAAGUUUGGUCUGCCACUGUGUUAUCGAACACCCUGUAACAUUUUAACUAAUUUUGUAAUGUGAAGCUCAAAGGUGGCUAAAAUUUUUGUUAUUAACUUUUAUUGCUAUCUAUUACUAUAGCGGAGCUAUUGAGCUUUACCCUACUAAUCAAUCACCCUGUAUAUACGUUAUCUUCAUUUUUCAUUUUUGAAGACCCUAAUAAAAUUUUAUCAUAUAAUUCUUACAAUUAAAUCACCACACUGUAAACUCGCAUCACCUUUCAUUCUAUUUACUGUCUUCUAUUUUUUGUACUAAAUGAGGAAAAAACAUUAAAAACUAAUAUUUCAGAAAUAGAACUAAAAAGUAAGUUGAUAUUAUUUAUUAAUACUAUUUUUAAAAACUUUUUGUUUCAUGCAUCUGUAUCGAGAUAUACAGGAAUCUCAGCUUUUUUACAUCUGCAUAAGUUCUUAGAGCAAUUUUUACAGUUACAUGGUGGUACUAAGUCUGUUCUUGUACGCAGUAAAACUAAAACUUUCUGUGGCUUCAGAGUCUAAUUAUCUAUAUGAUAUAGAUAUAAUCUAUAUCAUAUAGAUAUCCAGUGGAUAGUGGAUAGUAUCCAUAUAAAGUGGAUCUAGUUCUUUUGCAUCAUCAUCAAGGCACGUCAAUUGUGUGUAUGCCGCCAAAACAUAAAUGCUCGUUUUAUAUGCAAUGAUGAUGCUGCAAAAUAACUCGAUCCAUUUUUAUAUGGAUAUCACAUAUUGGCUCAUUUGUAAGCGUAGAAGUUAAGUUACGAUCGAUAAAGCUUCGAAAAAUACUUACCCGUUGUCCUAGGUGAGCGACGGAAAACGACGCGACGCGAUGCGAUGCGUUGCGAUGCGAUGCGAUGCGAUGCGACCAGUAAUUCACGCGACGUGUGGCUUAUGUAGCGUCGCAUCGCGUCGCUUUCCCUCACUCAAACCAGGACAAACGUGACGAUGUCAAUUAUUCAUUCCUAUUCUUAAGUGUGGGGAAGUAUACGGCAGUGUUACUGGAAAAUUCAUAUUUUAAAUACUUAGCUCAAAAAUUCCAUAAACGAAAAAGAAAGACAACAAAUGUCAUAUAUUUAGAACGAGUAUAUUUGGAGAGUUUAAUCAUUUAUAUCCGAAAUUAAUGAAAUAAUCCACGUUGAAUUAAAGAGUAUUGAGGCUUAUUCAUUUUCGAUUAUAUCAUUGCAGCUGUUAAACUCAGUAUUAAUAAUAUUGAGCUAUCAAUAACUAUCAAUAAGUAAUUUUCAAAAACCAAAUUCUCUUGAGGAGAGGUUGUUACUGACUUUAAGGUAUGUUAAUAAAAAAACACUGGUACUAUAUAUGUAGUUAUUAUUAGUUUUUAUUUAUUUAAUAAACUAUUGCGUAGCAUAAUUUGAAUUGAAAAAAGCAAUGGGGCGUCACACUGUGUCGUGUUUCGUCGCGAACAAAUCAAGUUCGCACUUCGUCGCGUCUUGUCGUACACUGAUUAACCCGAAAACGUAGGCCAUACACAAAUACAACCAUUACUUGAUAUUUUCGCGUCGCGUCGCGUCGUGUCGCGUUGUCGCGUUUGUCGUUCACCUAGGACAACGGGUUAUUUUGCAAUUUGCAAUUUGUAUUGUGCACUAAUUUUACAAUAUCUUGAGAUCUAAUUGUUGGAUUUAAGUUUAGUAAACUUUUUUUUCUUCGUUUUUUAUUAACGAACAAAUUUUAUUUGAAACAUUAUUUUUUAUCUCUUUUAGUUUAUGAGCCAAAGCCUUAUAAACAAUUAAAUUGUUUAUAACAAUUUUUUGACCACUCGGAUAGAAAUCCACCCUCGAAAUUCGUAAUCAGCAGCCAAAAAUCCAUAAGAAACCGUGGAGUUUGUCCAUCAGAAUUAAAAAGGACACGGUGACCCCUCUGGCGCCUAGACUAUUUGUCUGUAAUAUAUUUUUUCUACGAGCGUGCAAAAAUGUCUACUUUCGCGCACGCAUUUUAGUUUAGAAAGUUUCACUUUUCCGCACGCGUGUUACUUUUCCGCACGCGUUUUUUACUUUUCCGCACGCGUGUUAAUUUAGAUAUGUUAAUAUGGCUUUAAAUUAAUUAUAAUACAUGCAAUAAACUAAUAUUUAGAUAUUA
Diabrotica virgifera virgifera (western corn rootworm) is the source of this 4819-nucleotide RNA transcript. RefSeq lists it as uncharacterized. The transcript is spliced from 3 exons. Lineage: Eukaryota; Metazoa; Arthropoda; Insecta; Coleoptera; Chrysomelidae. The record is from RefSeq and is a predicted model, not a curated record.